AAAUAUAAAGGCUUUGUUUCAAACGCGUGAUUUUAAAAAUAAAUUUAACUUACUUGAGAAAUGUGAGUGACCUGGCGAUGGUUGAAGUUGCCAAUGCAUACCUGGGGCACGUUGGUUUGUGUUUCUGGAUUCGUUUGAACAUAUGUGAAUUUGUUGUGCCAGCAGGGGCGUGAAAUGUUGAGUUCAUACCUCCCCAAUGAAGAUUGGCUCAAAUAGAGCACUUUACUCCCAAUGGAAUUUGCAAGAGUUUUU
RNAcentral lists this long non-coding RNA (252 nucleotides) under Lathyrus oleraceus (garden pea). Its description in RNAcentral is "Pisum sativum (pea) long non-coding RNA (PSAT_LNC014463)". Lineage: Eukaryota; Viridiplantae; Streptophyta; Magnoliopsida; Fabales; Fabaceae. The record is from RNAcentral.